UACGUAGGGUGCGAGCGUUGUCCGGAAUUAUUGGGCGUAAAGAGCUCGUAGGCGGUGUGUCACGUCGGCCGUGAAAACCUGGGGCUUAACUCUGGGCGUGCGGUCGAUACGGGCAUCACUAGAGUUCGGCAGGGGAGACUGGAAUUCCUGGUGUAGCGGUGAAAUGCGCAGAUAUCAGGAGGAACACCGGUGGCGAAGGCGGGUCUCUGGGACGAUACUGACGCUGAGGAGCGAAAGCAUGGGUAGCGAACAGG
This 254-nucleotide ribosomal RNA is filed under the name uncultured bacterium. Its description in RNAcentral is "partial 16S ribosomal RNA". It matches the Rfam family "Bacterial small subunit ribosomal RNA", at positions 524 to 776 of the family's 1533-position model. The record is from RNAcentral.